RNAcentral lists this transfer RNA (85 nucleotides) under Schizomeris leibleinii. Its description in RNAcentral is "tRNA-Ser". It matches the Rfam family "tRNA". Rfam says of the family: Transfer RNA (tRNA) molecules are approximately 80 nucleotides in length. Lineage: Eukaryota; Viridiplantae; Chlorophyta; Chlorophyceae; Chaetophorales; Schizomeridaceae. The record is from RNAcentral.
GGAAAAAUGACCGAGUGGUUUAAGGUGCGGACCUGGAACGUCCGUGUAGUAAUUGCUACCGAGGGUUCGAAUCCCUCUUUUUCCG